GACGAACGCUGGCGGCGUGCUUAACACAUGCAAGUCGAACGGAAAGGCCCUGUCUUUGUGCGGUGCUCGGGUGGCGAACGGGUGAGUAACCCGUGAGUAAGCUACCAUUGACCUUGGGAUAACUUCAGGCAACAGAGGCUAAUACCGGCUAGGAGCUACUGCUGUAUGGUGGGGGUUGGAUGGUUUCGGUGGUUGGGGAUGGAAUCGCGGCUUAUCAGCUUGAUGGUGGGGUAGUGGCUUACCAAGGCUUGGAAGGGUAGCCGACCUGGUAGGGGGACCGGCCACAUUGGGACUGAGAUACGGCCCGGACCACUACCGUAGGCAACAGAGCGGAAGAGUGCACUAGGGGCGGAAGCCUGGUGCGGCAACGCCGCGUGCGGGAUGUCAGCCUGCGGUUUGUGUUCCGCUGUCGCCUUUCCCGAGGCGUGAGUGACGGUAAUGGGUAAAGAAGCACCGGCUAACUACGUG
RNAcentral lists this ribosomal RNA (468 nucleotides) under uncultured bacterium. Its description in RNAcentral is "partial 16S ribosomal RNA". It matches the Rfam family "Bacterial small subunit ribosomal RNA", at positions 28 to 507 of the family's 1533-position model. The record is from RNAcentral.